This is a non-coding RNA of Camellia sinensis, 519 nucleotides long. The record is from RefSeq and is a predicted model, not a curated record. NCBI's taxonomy places the organism in Eukaryota, Viridiplantae, Streptophyta, Magnoliopsida, Ericales, Theaceae.
AUUGCAUUAAAGGCAUUUGCAUAGCUUAUUAUUUUGUGUAGGUAUUGAUCAGUAACUGUGUCACUCCAAGUUGCUCGUUUAAACAGGGAGAUUAACAAGGCGUUCUGUGGCUUUUUCGAUCAAUCUAAAUGUCAGCAGUAUCAGAGACUGUUUCAAGAUGAUAAAUUUUGCAGAGAUCAGAUUGAUCAAGAUGUUAAAGGCCUCAUAGGCAUAUACAGGGAUUCUCAUUUGUUGCGCGAAGCACCAUCAACUUCAUCUGAAUCAAAUCAAGGAAUGUUUGGGGACAAACCGAUAAGGACUUCUGAACAAAACUAUAGUCAGCAUGCGGUUCAUGAAGAUAAAAUAGGCAUUGUGACGGGGAAUUGGGGCUGCGGUGCUUUUGGGGGAGACCCGGAACUUAAGGCCACAAUUCAAUGGCUUGCUGCUUCUCAGGCAUUGAGGCCUUUUAUCUCUUAUUAUGCAUUUAGUGUGGAGGCAUUAGAGACUCUUGACCAGGUACUUCUUUCUGUCUGAAGCUGU